This 26-nucleotide non-coding RNA is filed under the name Rattus norvegicus (Norway rat). Lineage: Eukaryota; Metazoa; Chordata; Mammalia; Rodentia; Muridae. The record is from RNAcentral.
UGAAAUUGAGAAUCAUUUGAAUGAAC